This 71-nucleotide transfer RNA is filed under the name Rattus norvegicus (Norway rat). It matches the Rfam family "tRNA". Rfam says of the family: Transfer RNA (tRNA) molecules are approximately 80 nucleotides in length. Their secondary structure includes four short double-helical elements and three loops (D, anti-codon, and T loops). The record is from Rfam by way of RNAcentral. Lineage: Eukaryota; Metazoa; Chordata; Mammalia; Rodentia; Muridae.
GGGGAUUUAGCUCAGUGGUAGAGCGCUUACCUAGGAAGCGCAAGGCCCUGGGUUCCGUCCCCAGGUCCCCA